UGUCCUACGGGGGGCAGCAGUCGAGAAUCAUUCACAAUGGGGGAAACCCUGAUGCAGCAACGCCGCGUGAAGGAAGACGGUUUUCGGAUUGUAAACUUCUGUUCUUAGUGAAGAAAAAUGACGGUAGCUAAGGAGCAAGCCACGGCUAACUACGUGCCAGCAGCCGCGGUAAUACGUAGGUGGCAAGCGUUGUCCGGAAUUACUGGGUGUAAAGGGAGCGCAGGCGGGAAGCCAAGUCAGCUGUGAAAACUACGGGCUUAACUUGUAGACUGCAGUUGAAACUGGGUUUCUUG
RNAcentral lists this ribosomal RNA (293 nucleotides) under uncultured bacterium. Its description in RNAcentral is "partial 16S ribosomal RNA". It matches the Rfam family "Bacterial small subunit ribosomal RNA", at positions 335 to 644 of the family's 1533-position model. The record is from RNAcentral.